Long non-coding RNA from Musa acuminata AAA Group (dessert banana), 1573 nucleotides. RefSeq lists it as uncharacterized. NCBI's taxonomy places the organism in Eukaryota, Viridiplantae, Streptophyta, Magnoliopsida, Zingiberales, Musaceae. The record is from RefSeq and is a predicted model, not a curated record. The transcript has 3 exons.
GUGUCGGAAACGGAAGUCGAUCUCCCAAUGCAACCGCGAGGAACGCCAUAGGAAUAAUGGAAGGCGGGUGGGUCGCGCUUUCCUCCGCAGUCCUCUUCCUCCCUUCGGCUUCUCCCGCCUCGUCCUCCAAGUUCCGCACCCUCUCGCCACAAGCAAGCAAGCGUGAUCGAAGCGAUGCCACCGCUACCACCACCGCCCUUUGGCUCGUCGCCCAGAACUCAUUGGGCCUCCUAAGGCUGCAGCAUCUCCAACUUGUAUUUGACAACACUCGAUCCAACUGCCAGGAUGCACUGAUAGAUGUGAAGGUCAUCUUUCACCCUUAGUUAAGUUCCCACUCAGAUCUUGCAGCAAGAUAGAUCCGGAAAACCCUACCAGUGCAAAACUUACACUCACAGGAAAGAUAUUUCCAUGGAAGCAUCGAAUAUAGUGGCAUUGUGGCAACUGCUUGAAGAAGACAUAGAAGUUGUAUGGAUGUGGCUGAUAUUCCCAAUCUAAUAUAGUAUUUGGGUUCUGAAUGCUUCACUCUCUACUGCAUUGGAUCAGAUUAAGUGUUGAUGAUGUCUUGGAUUGGUUAUCCUUUAAAAAGAUGUUAUAAUUUGAAAUCCAAUAUUUAUGCAUCACUAUCCACUGAGCAAAUCUAUUCAUUGCAAGAUAUUUACCUCUGCAUGAUUCUUGUCCUUUGCCACCAGUGCUGAAAGAUUGGUUACCUCAGAGGAGAUCUGAGAGCACUUUGUGCAGAAGCCUCUACCUGUGACACUUGUACAAUUUUAUUGUACCUAACUCACCUAAAAGGGAUUUGGCUGGCCACCAGGAGAGCUGCAUUCCAAAGUAAUAAUGGUAGAAGGUGAAGGUGGAAAGGCAUACAUAUGGAUAUCACCCAGGCUAAUAAUAUCUUAAACACAAGCCAAGUAGUAACUGUCUGAGCAGAAAAGAACAUACACAACAAUUAAUAGGAAGAACAAAAGAAUCCCCUUAGAUUGGUGUCAAGAAGUCCCUUCUUUCACCAAGUGUUGAAAGAAUCUGAGGUUUGUUGAAGUCUAUGAUGAGCCUGGCACAAAUGACAAGCAUCUAUGUAACCAUUUUGUUGCAUUUUGGCUCCCAUCUUCUUUACUGCAAUGUAGAUCAUAAUUCUUUGCACAAGAGUUAACUGAUAAGAGUUGAUUCAAAUAUUUUAAUGGUAUCAUGAAAUGAGAAGCAGCUUAAUGAACUACUACUACUACUAUUACUACUUAUGAUGACCUUCUUUGAGAACUAAACUUGAUUAAUACAGUUCACUAAAUAACCUGCUUAACAAAAGAAUUUAUACUGAUGCAAAGAACUGUCAAAACUUGUAGAUGAGAAAAGUUUGAUAGUAGAAAAGGGUUUUGCUAGUUCAACAGCAAACAAAGAAAUUUUUGUCAUUCAAACAUGGGCUGCUCUAUUUUACAGUUUGACUUGAUGCAAUCAGGGCUGCAGCUUGGGUUGUUUGGUUUGACUAUAAAAUUCCUAUUAAAUUGUUUUAGCAGAUUCUUUUUCUUGCAAAUUAAUGAGUCCAUUCUAUGCUGACUUUUAUGUUCUCUCCCUUUUUUUGACU